UACCAGCACCCCGAGUGGUCGGGACGAUUAUUGGGCCUAAAGCAUCCGUAGCCGGUCAUGCAAGUCUUCCGUUAAAUCCAGCCGCUCAACGGUUGGGCUGCGGAGGAUACUACGUGGCUAGGAGGCGGGAGAGGCAAGCGGUACUCAGUGGGUAGGGGUAAAAUCCAUUGAUCUAUAGAGGACCACCAAAAAAGGCGAAGGCAGCUAACUAUUCUACUCCUGACAUUGAGGCAUGAAAGCGUGGGGAGCAAAACGG
Molecule: ribosomal RNA, 256 nt
Filed under: uncultured bacterium
Lineage: Bacteria
Description: partial 16S ribosomal RNA
Rfam family: Archaeal small subunit ribosomal RNA
Source: RNAcentral